RNAcentral lists this ribosomal RNA (507 nucleotides) under uncultured bacterium. RNAcentral's name for it is "partial 16S ribosomal RNA". The record is from RNAcentral.
GGAGUUAGCCGGUGCUUCUUCUGUGAGUGAUGUCCUUCCUGCCGGCUAUUAACCCGCAGGCCUUCUUCCUCACUGAAAGUGCUUUACAACCCGAAGGCCUUCUUCACACACGCGGCAUGGCUGGAUCAGGGUUGCCCCCAUUGUCCAAUAUUCCCCACUGCUGCCUCCCGUAGGAGUCUGGGCCGUGUCUCAGUCCCAGUGUGGCUGAUCAUCCUCUCAGACCAGCUACGGAUCGUCGCCUUGGUGAGCCGUUACCUCACCAACCAGCUAAUCCGACAUAGGCUCAUCCGAUAGCGCGAGGCCCGAAGGUCCCCCGCUUUCCCCCGUAGGGCGUAUGCGGUAUUAGCCUGGGUUUCCCCAGGUUAUCCCCCACUACCGGGCAGAUUCCUAUGCAUUACUCACCCGUCCGCCGCUCGCCACCAGGGAGCAAGCUCCCCGUGCUGCCGCUCGACUUGCAUGUGUUAGUCUCGCCGCCACGCGUCAUCUGAGCGAGAUACAACUACUCGA